Molecule: ribosomal RNA, 468 nt
Filed under: uncultured bacterium
Lineage: Bacteria
Description: partial 16S ribosomal RNA
Rfam family: Bacterial small subunit ribosomal RNA
Source: RNAcentral
GACGAACGCUGGCGGCGUGCUUAACACAUGCAGGUCGAACGGAAAGGCCCUGCUUUUGUGGGGUGCUCGAGUGGCGAACGGGUGAGUAACACGUGAGUAACCUGCCCUUGACUUUGGGAUAACUUCAGGAAACUGGGACUAAUACCGGAUAGGAGCUCCUGCUGCAUGGUGGGGGUUGGAAAGUUUCGGCGGUUGGGGAUGGACUCGCGGCUUAUCAGCUUGUUGGUGGGGUAGUGGCUUACCAAGGCUUUGACGGGUAGCCGGCCUGAGAGGGUGACCGGCCACAUUGGGACUGAGAUACGGCCCAGACUCCUACGGGAGGCAGCAGUGGGGAAUAUUGCACAAUGGGCGGAAGCCUGAUGCAGCAACGCCGCGUGCGGGAUGACGGCCUUCGGGUUGUAAACCGCUUUCGCCUGUGACGAAGCGUGAGUGACGGUAAUGGGUAAAGAAGCACCGGCUAACUACGUG